CAGCCGCCGCGGGAAUACAGAGGAUGCAAGCGUUAUCCGGAAUGAUUGGGCGUAAAGCGUCUGUAGGUGGCUUUUCAAGUCCGCCGUCAAAUCCCAGGGCUCAACCCUGGACAGGCGGUGGAAACUACCAAGCUGGAGUACGGUAGGGGCAGAGGGAAUUUCCGGUGGAGCGGUGAGAUGCGUUGAGAUCGGAAAAAACACCAACGGCGAAAGCACUCUGCUGGGCCGACACUGACACUGAGAGACGAAAGCUAGGGGAGCAAAUGGGAUUAGAUACCCCCGUAGUCCCUGUCUCUUAUAC
RNAcentral lists this ribosomal RNA (301 nucleotides) under uncultured bacterium. RNAcentral's name for it is "partial 16S ribosomal RNA". It matches the Rfam family "Bacterial small subunit ribosomal RNA", at positions 509 to 807 of the family's 1533-position model. The record is from RNAcentral.